This 492-nucleotide ribosomal RNA is filed under the name uncultured bacterium. RNAcentral describes it as "partial 16S ribosomal RNA". It matches the Rfam family "Bacterial small subunit ribosomal RNA", at positions 29 to 507 of the family's 1533-position model. The record is from RNAcentral.
AGUGAACGCUGGCGGUAGGCCUAACACAUGCAAGUCGAACGGCAGCACAGUAAGAGCUUGCUCUUACGGGUGGCGAGUGGCGGACGGGUGAGGAAUACAUCGGAAUCUACUUUUUCGUGGGGGAUAACGUAGGGAAACUUACGCUAAUACCGCAUACGACCUACGGGUGAAAGCUGGGGAUCUUCGGACCUUGCGCGAUUGAAUGAGCCGAUGUCGGAUUAGCUAGUUGGCGGGGUAAAGGCCCACCAAGGCGACGAUCCGUAGCUGGUCUGAGAGGAUGAUCAGCCACACUGGAACUGAGACACGGUCCCGACUCCUACGGGAGGCAGCAGUGGGGAAUAUUGGACAAUGGGCGCAAGCCUGAUCCAGCCAUACCGCGUGGGUGAAGAAGGCCUUCGGGUUGUAAAGCCCUUUUGUUGGGAAAGAAAAGCAGCAGGUUAAUACCCCGCUGUUCUGACGGUACCCAAAGAAUAAGCACCGGCUAACUUCGUG